UGGGGAAUUUUGGACAAUGGGCGAAAGCCUGAUCCAGCAAUGCCGCGUGUGUGAAGAAGGCCUUCGGGUUGUAAAGCACUUUUGUCCGGAAAGAAAAUCCUUGGCUCUAAUACAGUCGGGGGAUGACGGUACCGGAAGAAUAAGCACCGGCUAACUACGUGCCAGCAGCCGCGGUAAUACGUAGGGUGCAAGCGUUAAUCGGAAUUACUGGGCGUAAAGCGUGCGCAGGCGGUUUGCUAAGACCGAUGUGAAAUCCCCGGGCUCAACCUGGGAACUGCAUUGGUGACUGGCAGGCUAGAGUAUGGCAGAGGGGGGUAGAAUUCCACGUGUAGCAGUGAAAUGCGUAGAGAUGUGGAGGAAUACCGAUGGCGAAGGCAGCCCCCUGGGCCAAUACUGACGCUCAUGCACGAAAAGCGUGGGGAGCAAAACAGGAUUAGAUACCCUGGUAGUCCACGCCCUAAAACGAUGUCAACUAGUUGUU
RNAcentral lists this ribosomal RNA (481 nucleotides) under uncultured bacterium. Its description in RNAcentral is "partial 16S ribosomal RNA". It matches the Rfam family "Bacterial small subunit ribosomal RNA", at positions 355 to 824 of the family's 1533-position model. The record is from RNAcentral.